This 804-nucleotide long non-coding RNA is filed under the name Gopherus agassizii (Agassiz's desert tortoise). RNAcentral's name for it is "lncRNA (ENSGAGG00000009553.1)". Lineage: Eukaryota; Metazoa; Chordata; Testudines; Testudinidae. The record is from RNAcentral.
ACAGACUUAAAUUACUGUAAACUCCUGAACUGCAUGUGUUUACAUUUAUUUUUAUAGAAAUCUCGUUUAAUCAAACCACACACGGUUACGCAGUGUGGAGACAGCAGCAGAACUGUAUUAAUAAAUAAAAAUGAAAGUGUUCAGAAAACAAUGAGUCAAAGAAAUGCUUUCCAUAGAGAACCAGCUCCCUCAUCUUCAUGUUUGGAUAACUGUAGCAGAAAACAACAUGUGAAAAAAAGAGGCCCGAAAAGAUGGAAUAUUUCAGAGCACAGGGCUAUUUCCCAGAAGAAAGCAAGACCUCAUGAACGACAGAUACCUCCUGUUUCCCUAUUGGAGAAGGAUCACCGAGUUUCACUGGUACCUCUUCCUAAGAGCCAACACAUGCUUCUGGAGAAAUCUGAAGUUGCCAACAUUAAAAAAGAAGACAGUGACCCAGAAAUCAUCUGUGUAAUGGCGUCUGAGGAUGAGACUGAAGAUUUGUUUAAGUGUGGGGAAAGUAGAGAAUUUCUUUGGUUGAACAAAGGUUCAUUUGGAGGAAAACAGAAACGGCGUGACUUACAAAGGUAUAUUUGUUUUGAUCAGAAGGAUGCUACAAAAAUAAAGGGAAAUAAUUUGCCGCCUUCAAAAUUGGAAAGUGCAUUGGCUGAAGAUCAAAAAGGAUGUGCUGAAGGAAAAGCCCAAGUUGCAAUGCAGGAGACAGGUGCUGUGGCACACAUAGAAGAGUCUUCCCAGUGUAUGUCUGGAAAGAAAACGGUAGAAACUUUAACCUCUCUUUUAAGAGUCCAAUCCAUGAUACCAGAGUAA